This 376-nucleotide ribosomal RNA is filed under the name uncultured microorganism. RNAcentral's name for it is "bacterial SSU rRNA". It matches the Rfam family "Archaeal small subunit ribosomal RNA", at positions 330 to 713 of the family's 1478-position model. The record is from RNAcentral.
GCGCAGCAGGCGAGAAACUUUACAAUGUGCGAAAGCACGAUAAGGGAACUCUGAGUGCCUCCUAAGGAGGCUGUUCAGGUGUCUAAAAGCACCUGAAGGAAGGGCUGGGUAAGACCGGUGCCAGCCGCCGCGGUAACACCGGCAGCCCAAGUGGUAGCCACGUUUAUUGGGUCUAAAGCGUCCGUAGCCGGCUGGGUAAGUUCCUUGGGAAAUUUGGCUGCUUAACAGUCAAGCUUUCAGGGAAUACUGCUCGGCUUGGGACCGGGAGAGGUCAGAGGUACUCCAGGGGUAGGGGUGAAAUCCAUUAAUCCUUGGGGGACCACCGGUAGCGAAGGCGUCUGACCAGACCGGGUCCGACGGUGAGGGACGAAGGCUA